This 257-nucleotide ribosomal RNA is filed under the name Azospirillum lipoferum. Its description in RNAcentral is "partial 16S ribosomal RNA". It matches the Rfam family "Bacterial small subunit ribosomal RNA", at positions 1 to 280 of the family's 1533-position model. The record is from RNAcentral. Lineage: Bacteria; Pseudomonadati; Pseudomonadota; Alphaproteobacteria; Rhodospirillales; Azospirillaceae.
GAACCUGAGAGUUUGAUCCUGGCUCAGAACGAACGCUGGCGGCAUGCCUAACACAUGCAAGUCGAACGAGGGUUUCCUUCGGGGGGCCUUAGUGGCGCACGGGUGAGUAACACGUGGGAACCUGCCUUUCGGUUCGGAAUAACGUCUGGAAACGGACGCUAACACCGGAUACGCCCUAUGGGGGAAAGUUUACGCCGAGAGAGGGGCCCGCGUCGGAUUAGGUAGUUGGUGAGGUAAUGGCUCACCAAGCCUGCGAU